AGAAUCAACGCUGGCGGCGUGCCUAACACACGCAAGUCGCACGAGAAAGGGGAGCAAUCCCUGAGUACAGUGGCGCACGGGUGAGUAACACGUGAAUAAUCUACCUCCGAGUGGGGAAUAACUGAGAGAAAUCUUAGCUAAUACCGCAUAAUACCCACGGGUCAAAGCAGCAAUGCGCUUGGAGAGGAGUUCGCGGCAGAUUAGUUAGUUGGCGGGGUAAUGGCCCACCAAGACGAUGAUCUGUAUCCGGCCUGAGAGGGCGCACGGACACACUGGAACUGAAACACGGUCCAGACUCCUACGGGAGGCAGCAGUGGGGAAUUUUGCGCAAUGGGGGAAACCCUGACGCAGCAACGCCGCGUGGAGGAUGAAGCCCCUUGGGGUGUAAACUCCUUUCGAUCGGGAAGAUAAUGACGGUACCGAUAUAAGAAGCCCCGGCUAACUUCGCGCCAGCAGCCGC
This 460-nucleotide ribosomal RNA is filed under the name uncultured bacterium. RNAcentral describes it as "SSU rRNA". It matches the Rfam family "Bacterial small subunit ribosomal RNA", at positions 26 to 518 of the family's 1533-position model. The record is from RNAcentral.